CUUGCUGCUGCAUAGAUGACGACCGGCGCACGGGUGCGGAACGCGUAUGGAACCUGCCUCUGUCAGGGGAAUAGCCCAGAGAAAUUUGGAUUAAUGCCCCAUAGUAUUAUGGUGACUCAUGUUAUUAUAAUUAAAGAUUUAUCGGACAGAGAUGGCCAUGCGUACCAUUAGUUAGUUGGUGAGGUAAAGGCUCACCAAGACCGCGAUGGUUAGGGGCCCUGAGAGGGGGAUCCCCCACACUGGUACUGAGACACGGACCAGACUCCUACGGGAGGCAGCAGUGAGGAAUAUUGGACAAUGGAGGAGACUCUGAUCCAGCCAUGCCGCGUGCAGGAUGACGGCCCUAUGGGUUGUAAACUGCUUUUAUACAGGAAGAAACCUAUCUACGUGUAGAUAGCUGACGGUACUGUAAGAAUAAGGACCGGCUAACUCCGUGCCAGCAGCCGCGGUAAUACGGAGGGUCCGAGCGUUAUCCGGAAUCAUUGGGUUUAAAGGGUCCGUAGGCGGGCAUAUAAGUCAGAGGUGAAAGUUUGCAGCUCAACUGUAAAAUUGCCUUUGAUACUGUAUGUCUUGAGUUAUAGUGAAGUUGCCGGAACAUGUGGUGUAGCGGUGAAAUGCAUAGAUAUCACAUAGAACACCAAUUGCGAAGGCAGGUGACUAACUAUAUACUGACGCUGAUGGACGAAAGCGUGGGGAGCGAACGGGAUUAGAUACCCCGGUAGUCCACGCCGUAAACGAUGGAUACUAGCUGUCGGGACUUCGGUUUCGGCGGCCAAGCGAAAGUGAUAAGUAUCCCACCUGGGGAGUACGUUCGCAAGAAUGAAACUCAAAAGGAAUUGACGGGGGCCCGCACAAGCGGUGGAGCAUGUGGUUUAAUUCGAUGAUACGCGAGGAACCUUACCAGGGCUUAAAUGUAGAUUGCAUUACGCAGAGAUGCUUAUUUCUUCGGACUAUUUACAAGUGCUGCAUGGUUGUCGUCAGCUCGUGCCGUGAGUGUCAGUUAAGUCCUAUACGAGCGCAACCCCUACGUUAGUGCUAGCAGUCAGCUGAGACUCUAA
This 1058-nucleotide ribosomal RNA is filed under the name uncultured bacterium. RNAcentral's name for it is "bacterial SSU rRNA". It matches the Rfam family "Bacterial small subunit ribosomal RNA", at positions 74 to 1143 of the family's 1533-position model. The record is from RNAcentral.